RNAcentral lists this ribosomal RNA (253 nucleotides) under uncultured bacterium. RNAcentral describes it as "partial 16S ribosomal RNA". It matches the Rfam family "Bacterial small subunit ribosomal RNA", at positions 524 to 776 of the family's 1533-position model. The record is from RNAcentral.
UACGAAGGGGACUAGCGUUGUUCGGAAUCACUGGGCGUAAAGCGUACGUAGGCGGAUGUGUCAGUCAGGGGUGAAAUCCCGGGGCUCAACCUCGGAACUGCCUUUGAUACAGCACGUCUCGAGUCCGGAAGAGGUGGGUGGAAUUCCUAGUGUAGAGGUGAAAUUCGUAGAUAUUAGGAAGAACACCGGUGGCGAAGGCGGCCCACUGGUCCGGUACUGACGCUGAGGUGCGAAAGCGUGGGGAGCAAACAGG